RNAcentral lists this ribosomal RNA (829 nucleotides) under uncultured bacterium. RNAcentral's name for it is "bacterial SSU rRNA". It matches the Rfam family "Bacterial small subunit ribosomal RNA", at positions 35 to 856 of the family's 1533-position model. The record is from RNAcentral.
GCUGGCGGAAUGCUUUACACAUGCAAGUCGAACGGCAGCACGGGGGCUUGCUCCUGGUGGCGAGUGGCGAACGGGUGAGUAACGCGUCGGAACGUACCGAGUAAUGGGGGAUAACGCAGCGAAAGCUGUGCUAAUACCGCUUACGCCCUGAGGGGGAAAGUGGGGGAUCGCAAGACCUCACGUUAUUCGAGCGGCCGACGUCUGAUUAGCUUGUUGGCGAGGUAAUGGCUCACCAAGGCGACGAUCAGUAGCGGGUCUGAGAGGAUGAUCCGUCACACUGGAACUGAGACACGGUCCAGACUCCUACGGGAGGCAGCAGUGGGGAAUUUUGGACAAUGGGGGCAACCCUGAUCCAGCCAUUCCGCGUGAGUGAAGAAGGCCUUCGGGUUGUAAAGCUCUUUCAGCCGGAACGAAACGGUAUUCCUUAAUACGGGAUGCUAAUGACGGUACCGGCAGAAGAAGCACCGGCUAACUACGUGCCAGCAGCCGCGGUAAUACGUAGGGUGCGAGCGUUAAUCGGAAUUACUGGGCGUAAAGCGUGCGCAGGCGGAUUGUUAAGCAAGAUGUGAAAUCCCCGGGCUUAACCUGGGAAUGGCAUUUUGAACUGGCAGUCUAGAGUGUGUCAGAGGGGGGUGGAAUUCCACGUGUAGCAGUGAAAUGCGUAGAUAUGUGGAGGAACACCAAUGGCGAAGGCAGCCCCCUGGGAUAACACUGACGCUCAUGUACGAAAGCGUGGGUAGCAAACAGGAUUAGAUACCCUGGUAGUCCACGCCCUAAACGAUGUCAACUGGUUGUUGGGGGAGUGAAAUCCCUUAGUAACGAAGCUAAC